UACAGAGGGUGCAAGCGUUGUUCGGAAUUAUUGGGCGUAAAGGGAGUGUAGGCGGUCCAUUAAGUCUUCUGUGAAAUCUACGGGCUUAGCCUGUAACGUGCAGAGGAAACUGGUGGACUUGAGUGUCGGAGAGGAUAGGGGAAUACCCGGUGUAGAGGUGAAAUUCGUAGAGAUCGGGUGGAACACCAGUGGCGAAGGCGCCUAUCUGGCUGACAACUGACGCUGAGACUCAAAAGCAUGGGGAGCAAACAGG
Molecule: ribosomal RNA, 253 nt
Filed under: uncultured bacterium
Lineage: Bacteria
Description: partial 16S ribosomal RNA
Rfam family: Bacterial small subunit ribosomal RNA
Source: RNAcentral